UGUGCCGAGGAAGGAUUCUCCUUUGUAAAAGAGUCUGGCUGGCCCCGCGUUGUUCCUGGCUUGAGUGCUACUGAGAGCUGCAGCUCGCUUCCACGGUCGAGCAACAUGAUGAACAUUAUUUUCAGGGACAGGAAGCCGGAGGCGGAGGCUGGAAACGGAUUCUCAGGGCUCAGGUUGUGUGAGCUGUGAGCUGUGAGCCAAUUCUGACUGCAGAAUGAUGGGCCUAGGCUUCGGUUGUGAUCCGAUAAGCUGAGAUAGAGCAGACCCCACGUCAAUCAAUAAAAUGACGGGGUUAUAUAAAAAUAGGGUGUCUAGAAUGAACUAAAGGCCGUCACACAGCAGUAGUCUGCCUGCAAGAUGCAUCACAAGAUGAGAAGGAAAAAAAAGAAAGAAAGAAAGAUGAAUGCUUACCUGUGCCAAUUGCCAAAAAUGCGCCAUUGGAGCCCCUCUUGGCUCUUCUACUAAGUUACACGAGCUGUCGAACAGCAAACCUCAAGAAUUCCCGGCAGCCAGGUAGUACACUCGAAAUGUUCACCAUAGACAGUGUAUCGCGGGUCCGUACAUCGCGUUUGGUACCCUAGUAGUAGCUUUACGUCACAUUUGUACCCGCAUCGGCAUUCCUGCUCAAGAUUCUGUGAGAAGAAAGGAAGUGGAAGUCCAGAAGGGGGGAGGGGGGGAUGUGCAUUGCAGAAGUUGUAUUUCAUCUUGGCAUCCCAAUGGGUGACAUGGCGGCGGCCCAGAGCUGAGGAAGUUUCUCGUGUUUCCCUUCGUUGUUAGAUGCGUUUUCUCAUGAUUGGUAUCUUUGACGACGUGCCGAGUAGCGAGCUCCUGAUUCGAAGAGCCUUGAUGGCGGUAGUUAAAAUUGAUCAUGCCCCUGUGCGAUGCUCUGAUUUCUGGCACAUGGGAACAUGUUAGGGUUCCAUUGGGUUAGUGAAAGUUGUCUUUUUGAAAAGUAAUUCCAUUGAAGAAAUUUAUAUAGUGGGUAGAAGAAAAAGGGUGAGAAGUUCACUGAAGCCGUGCCAUGCUGAGGAGCCUACGACAAUAAUCGAUCAUACCAGCGCAUUGCCGCUCGUUUAUGUAUGAAAAGAACCGAAC
RNAcentral lists this small RNA (1095 nucleotides) under Histoplasma capsulatum. RNAcentral's name for it is "hypothetical RNA". The record is from RNAcentral. Lineage: Eukaryota; Fungi; Ascomycota; Eurotiomycetes; Onygenales; Ajellomycetaceae. RNAcentral also lists the same sequence under 1 other name.